GACAGAGGUGCCGAGCGUUAGGCGGAAUCACUGGGCUUAAAGCGUGUGUAGGCGGGUCGUUAAGUGCCUUGUGAAAUCCCACGGCUCAACCGUGGAACUGCUUGGCAUACUGGCGAUCUUGAGCCAUCUAGGGGCAGUCGGAACAAGUGGUGGAGCGGUGAAAUGCGUAGAUAUCACUUGGAACGCCAAUGGUGAAAACAGACUGCUGGGGAUGAGCUGACGCUGAGACACGAAAGCCAGGGGAGCGAACGGG
Molecule: ribosomal RNA, 253 nt
Filed under: uncultured prokaryote
Description: partial 16S ribosomal RNA
Rfam family: Bacterial small subunit ribosomal RNA
Source: RNAcentral